CCUUAAGGAAAGUGUCAAUUUAAUUUAAUUUACUCAACAUGCCAAAAUUGCAUACAAGGAAAUUUAAAGUGCGAUAAAUGUACAUACCUUGCCAUUUGGUCAUUUUGCAUCUGUCCUAGCAUUCAACACAUCAUUUAAACAAUUCUAACCAUAAAUCACUAUGGCACAAACAUGCUAUUCAACAUAUAGUCUAAGCAAUCAUCAAUCAUACCUCACGCAAUCAUCCAAGCAAUAAAAACAUCCACAAAAUAGUUUUAAAAGUCCUUAAACAAUCCAUGAAAAGUCCAUUUACAAACCAAACAAGUCCAAAGUCUAAACCCUCAAAAUAAACCCAUAUUGUCAUCCUUUAUUAACCAAAACCACCUCACAUGCACAACCAAGAUGCCUUUGCCUUUGGAUCUCAAGCUUGCCUAGUUUCCCACUCCACACAAGCUAUUUCUCUGCAAAAAUAAACACAAGGGAGUGUGAGCUUAACCAAGCUUAGUGAGUGUUCAAGAUGCUACAACAAACCACAAAAUCAAUAGUUAAAAACAAACAUGCUAAACACAUUUAUCAUAUAAAAUCAUCAAAUUUCAUAUCAUAUUGAUACAUUGAUAACUUGUGAAGAUGAAAAUAUAGAAAAAAAUAACUUUCAUUGGAUACUCGGAUCUCCAUUACACCAUGACUCAAAAGAGUCUAUAUGUCCUAAGCAAGUGUAGUAUGAAGCUAACACUCUCCAACACACCAACAUAUCUCAAUGAAUGGAGCAAUGUUCUACAUUCUCUUAUCCCUCCAAACAUGUCCCAAUAAAAAAAACAUAUAAAUUAGUACUCAAAUCCUAUAGCAUGCCAACUAUAUCCAAUGCUUUCAAAGGUUCACAAAGCCAAUAUAGCCAUGUCACACAUUCAUUUUCUAAUUUAUGCACACUUUCACGUAUCAUGCUUUACCAUGAUCAAACACUUAUCUCAUGUUCUCAUAAUACACUUCAAGUACUAACGCUUUACUCAUUGAGCCAAUUACACUUUCAUAUCAAAGGUAUGUGCAUAAAACUAACUACCCACAAGGCAUAUCCAGAUAUAUAUUCAACAUAUAUAAUCACAUCAUACACUUAAGCAUUUCAAACACAUGUAAGCUUGUUUGCAAAUCAAGUACCACCAUCGUUUCUAUAGGAAGUUUGGUGAAAGAGCAAAAUUUGAUUCAAAUUCUCAAAUAUCUUUCAUUUACAUUGUCAACCUUUAUUUGGGAUAUUUGCGAUAACCCUCAAGCAUAAGAAACUGAAAAGCUAAGUAUUUGCAUUAAUACUUACAUUAAUGACCAAAUACAUGCAUCUAAUCCUAAAUUCAUGUAUAAUUUCAAAAUCCACGUUUUAAUUAAAUAAAUACAUGUAUCUAAUGCACGUACAUUCAUUCAUGCAUUAAUUCGUUUACUAAAUGAGCUCAAAAAGUCUGUUAAGAAUCUUCUAACCAAAUUUAGGCUUUUCAUGUUACAACUCAUUAGGCUUUCAAAGCCCAAAAUAUGCCUAGCUUCACCCUCUUCAAUUUAGACCAAAAUAGCUAGCUCUUGCAUGAAAAGUGCUAGUGCAUUGGAGUAACAAUUUUCCAAAAAAUGCAACCUAGUAAACUUGGUAGCAGUGGAAAUUUUGUUUCCUUAAAUGGUUGUUUGUUUGUAUCAGUUAAGAUUAUGAAGUAGUAGGAGUUUUGUGUUUUUGAUGUUUAAUUUCUUCCAAAUUGUUCAAGGGCUUAGGUCAUGUUGCUGAUCAGUAAGUAAUAGCAUUAGAAGUAUUCCUAUUUCUCUCACUACUAUUGUGGUGUGGAAUCUUAUUUAUGCAGCUUUUAAUCCAAGCCCAUCCUCACUAAAUGCAAAUCACGACCCAUAAUUAACCCGCUCAAAUUGGAUUAAGCUAGAAUGAACCAAGCCUGGCAACUAUAUUAAAAGAAAAAUAGCAAGAAAUAUAGAGAAAGAAAAGACUAGGGAGAAGAGAUAGUAAAUUUUUUGGGGGAUUUUAGAGAAUUGAAUGUGACUGCUAAUACUUGUGGUUAAACUAUUUAAUUUAUCAAUUUGCUUUUAAACUUAUCCAAAGAAAAAUUUGGAGUUCAUCUUAAAUGUAUCAGAGUAAGAAUAUAACAUACAAUAUUUGGAACAAUAGUUUUAAGUAAAUUAGCAAUGCCAAAAUCAGUGCCAACAGCUUCGGGUACUGAUCAACAAUAACAAUAAAUACACUUUAUGUUUAUGUAGUUCGAUUUUUUUAUGUCUGCAGAAUUUUACCUGGAAAAAUAAUUCACUAUCUUAACACCUCAUACAAUAAAUUAUUACAACUUUAAAUACUCACCAAAUUAAAAUCUCAAUUUUACAUCUAAGAUUUUCUAAUUUUUAAAAGGGUUUUCUUUUCUAAUUUCUAAUUUAUUUUAAGAUGAUGUAUAUAUAAGGGAAUUACUCACAUAUAGUUUUUUAAUUAGUACUAGUUUCUUACUGCGCAUCAUGGCCAGAAUUAGCUAAAAGUGACAAUUUUUUUUAAAAGAUAUUGAGAGAAUAAGCAGAUUUUUGGCAUAUUUACGGGAAUAAAUCAAUUUUAGAGAGAGAAUGUAAUGCGUCUAUCUGAAAGAGAUUUUAUUUGACUUUGUAGGAAACCGCGCCCAACGCGUUUUCACUUUCUCUCCUCCACUGGGUUUAAGGUUUUUAGGGUUUUGUUAGAGUUUUAUUGGGUUUAGGAUUUUUAGAGUAGUAAAUGAAUUUUAAGAUUUUGUUAAGGUUUUUAAGGGUUUAGGGUUUAUUUUUGGGUUGUAGGUUUUAAGGUUGGAAAUAAAGGGAGGCAGAUUUUUUUGUGUUUGUAUUUGUGUUUGAGGUAGACAAUAUUGUGAAAAACUCAAAGGUAUAUUUCUGUUGACGGUGAUGCGAAAGCGCUGGGAAAACUAUGCAUUUCUUUUGUCGUGUUGAGAUAGAACCAUUGCCUUAGAAGUCCAUUGCAUUGCAAAUCAGGUUUCGAGUUCGUAGUGCUUAUACGAUUACGGGUUGUAGUAUAACAAGGGGCUCCUAGUUGACGGAUGUUAAUAUGGGGUCACGAUUUGGAGUAUAACUUGGGAGCCCACUUGAUAGUGGUUAUGCGGUCACAGGUUCAAGUUCCACCUCACUGGAGAGGAUGGUUUGUAAACCCGAUACAGAAGUUUGAGAUGAUAACCGUAGGGAAAAACUUAGGGGCUUUCAAGUAUAACCAACUUAUUUUUUUUCUCCAUCUCCACCAAAAAUAGAAUCUGUAACCUCCUUAUCACUCGAACCAGUGACUGAGUUGGAUACAAUAGCACUGUCAAGAGGGGAACGACUAUUAAAAAUUUCUAAUUAAAUCUCUAAGUAAAUAAAUUUUACUGUCAUACAUAAUCAUUAUUAUCAUCCGCAAAAUUCCUAAUUAAAUUGUAAUUAUUUCAAUUACCAUGAAUUUUUUAAACAAUUUUCUUUUUAAGUAGUAAUAAAAUUUUUUAAGUGUAAUAAAAUAAAAUAAUAAUUAAAUUACACAACUUUAAUUUCUUUGAAGUCACAACUUUAAAUUUAUAAAUAAUAAUUUUUUUUGAAACUUUAAACACUAUUAAAAAUUUAAACAAAUAUUAUAGUUGAAACAUUUUUAAUAAUUUUUAUUUCAAAUUAAGUUUAUUAAUUAAAUAAAAAUAUAAAAAAUGAAAAUCCCUUGAGGAAGGGGGUAAUUGUAGUUAGACUUAAAACCAUCUUGCAAUUUUUAAAAAUGUCUCAGGAAAUUUUAAGAUUUAAUAAUGUGAAUAACAUCAACAACAAUUAAUCAUCCACUAGAGGGCAAAGAAAGAGAAGUAAGUAAAGUGUUAUAAUAGACGUCGAUAAUGACAAUUAGAUAAUCGUAAAAUUAGAAAAAUAAGAAUACACAGAUUUUACGUGGAAACCCUUUUGGGUAAAAAUUACGGGCAGAGGAGAAAUUCACCUAUGUUGAAAAAUGAAUGAUACAAGAAGAGUUUCGACUACAUCUAUUUAAAGAUUGAAAACCUCUUUUCUAAUCAAUGCCAAAUAGAAGAGAUGUAGUUCUUUGCAGAUUCUACUUGUGCGGCAUGGUCCCCUUAUUCAAACCUUCGGCCCUCGACUUUUCGCUCCCACAGAUCCCCUUAUUUUACCGAUAUAUUUUAUUUUUUUAACAAAUGAUGAGAUUCAAUUCACAUAACUCGAUCAUAAAUCAAACUAUUUAUUGAAGAAAGAGAUAUUAUUUACAUGCUUUAAUUCGUAGAAAUCUCUAUUAAUUAACCUAUAUGGGGAUGAUCACAUGUACCUUUUUGUCUCCCCUUCCAACAUGAGGUAACUAUAAAUCCUUCAAUGGCACAGAAUAGCAUGUGCUCACACUCUGCCUUUUCACGUGCAAUCACUUCACAUUUUGCUCUAAAAUUUCCCCAAUACACAAUCAAAUAUUCAACUGUAUCAUCUACCAUCUUUACUUCACAAAACCAAAUAAUUCUCACUGCUUUUUAAUUGUGAGUGCUACUUGAUUUAUUUCUAGGGUAAAAAUUCUCAUUCUCCUCAUCAAAGAAAGAAAACUAAAAUAAAAGCUUAUCUAACAUUCAGCAUUUUAUUUUAAAGUGAACAUAUAUAAUGCAUUCUAUGAGUCUAAAUAAAAUAAAGAAAAGGGAGAAGCUUAUACAUAUAUAUGCCUUUUGUCUGUUUAGUAUCUCGAAAUCAUAAGCUAACCUUUAGGAACUAAAAUUUCAAAAUUUGGAUUUAAAUUUUAAAAAUAAUGUGACUUCAACAUCAUGAUUAUUUCUUAUGAUUUAUCUCUCGUCACUGUUGAUAUUAGGGAAAAAUAAGUUGAAAAAGUAAAAGGAAGAAAAUGAAGACGUAAGUUACAGGUAUGUGUAUAUGUCUAAGCUCUAAUGAUUAAACAGAGAUAUAGAAAUAAGAUUUCUACUUCUUACCUUUCUCUGGACAUUCAAGCAUGCUCUCAAGUAUGGAGGAAAAUAUGUUGUGAGAGAAACAAAGAUGAAGGCGAAGAGAAAAGAAGCAAGAAAAAGAAAAUGAGAGAAAGGGGGCAAAGAGUGCUUAAAAGGCAAGAUAUACAUGUUCUCCAUUAUUUAUCUAUAGAAUAAGAUUUAUGUUACAAUCUAAAGCUUGAGAAUCUAAAUCCAUGAACUCAAUUUGGUUGCCUUCAUUUUAUUUUAUUUAACAUGAUGUACGAGGAUUCAUUUAAUUUAAUUUGUUGGUCCACAAACAACUAGAAAAUUGCUCCGUUCUCUCCAUGAAAAUAAAAAAUAAAAAAAAGACACAUCAACAACAAAAUAAAAUAAAAACCACUGAUAUUUAUAAAUUAUUAAAAACAUUUUCUCCAUUAUACUUACAGAGAUGAUCAGCUCCCGAAGGCUUCGCAGCAGUCACUAAUUACACUGCAGCAACUCAAAGCAUUGAAAAACCAAUCAAGGCAACCAGACUUUGCAGGUGGAGCAGCAUACCGUGAAGGUGGUUCCAUCACGGGGGGAUAACCUUGAGCAGGGUUAGGAUAAGGAUACUUGGGAUCACUCAUAUUUGGAAACUAACUGACAAGUGAUUCAGUGUCGAUGGAAAAAAAAUGCUUUAUAGUCGGCAAGGGCCCCCCUUCGGCCUUCAGGGCCAAACUAUAGCUAGAUUAAUAGAGAUGGGUAGCUUCCGCACUUUUUCCAGCGUUAAUAUAUAAGGUGCCUUUCACUUUCUGGAUG
This 5669-nucleotide long non-coding RNA is filed under the name Gossypium barbadense (sea-island cotton). RNAcentral describes it as "long non-coding RNA (GBAR_LNC015241)". Lineage: Eukaryota; Viridiplantae; Streptophyta; Magnoliopsida; Malvales; Malvaceae. The record is from RNAcentral.